This 85-nucleotide ribosomal RNA is filed under the name Mixta calida. RNAcentral describes it as "partial 16S ribosomal RNA". It matches the Rfam family "Bacterial small subunit ribosomal RNA", at positions 1 to 85 of the family's 1533-position model. Lineage: Bacteria; Pseudomonadati; Pseudomonadota; Gammaproteobacteria; Enterobacterales; Erwiniaceae. The record is from RNAcentral.
UAAUUGAAGAGUUUGAUCAUGGCUCAGAUUGAACGCUGGCGGCAGGCCUAACACAUGCAAGUCGAACGGUAACAGGAAGCAGCUU